UCUAACGGAAAUAAAAAUAAGAAAUAUAUAGAAAAUAGAAUUAUGACGUGCUGUAUAUAAAGAGCAAUGGAGAAAAUAAAACAAGCAUAUAUGAAAAGAAGAAGAAGAAAGAAAAUGAAAAUUGUAGAUGGAUAGAGUCGUCCCACACUUGAGGUUGGUCCACAAUGAAUACCGUUGGAGGCUUCGCAGGCUUUUGUUCUGUCCUUGUCUUCUUUGUCUCUCUCUCUCUCUCUCUCUCCCUCUCCAUCUUUUGUUUCUUAUUCUCUAUCAUAUCAACCUAUAGCUUAAACUAAUAUAUCAUACUGUGUAUGUAAUUUUACAAAUUUUAGCUACGUACAGAAACCAAACAUGUAGUCCUAAGAAUUCAUCGACUGUUUAUGUACUUCAUAAAAAGCUACUGAGUCUUUAUCGUUAAAAUUUUAAUUGUCUUAAACUUUUUUGUUUUCUUUAGUUUGUGCAUGAGGGGGUAGAGAUAAUGAGUCUGCUGCUACUACUAGUAAAAGUAACUGUACAUUAUAAAAUGCGUGGGGAUGUCGUCAUUAAUUAAAUUGGAAUUUUGGCAUUUAAUAGGAGAGAAAAGAGUGAAAGGUGCUUCACAUACACGCGCCGUAGUUUCUUACCGGGAAAGCGAUUGGUAGUGUUUGAUGUUAACUAGACCGGGCCCGGUUUAGUAUGGGCGGCGGCCGAACCGACCACCUGGCUCCUUCUCUUCUCUGGAUGGGAUUCUGCAAAAUCUUAUUUCGGAUCUUAUUUGGAUUUUGAUCAGUUCAUAUUAUUAUAUAUAAAAUCGG
Molecule: long non-coding RNA, 791 nt
Filed under: Capsella grandiflora
Lineage: Eukaryota; Viridiplantae; Streptophyta; Magnoliopsida; Brassicales; Brassicaceae
Description: long non-coding RNA (CGRA_LNC000609)
Source: RNAcentral